ACGUAUGGGGCGAGCGUUGUUCGGAAUUAUUGGGCGUAAAGGGCGCCUAGGCGGGGAUUUAAGUUAGGUGUGAAAGCUAUGGGCUUAACCGAUAAAUUGCACUUAAAACUGUAACUCUUGAGUUCGGGAGAGGAGAGCGGAAUUUAAGGUGUAGCGGUGAAAUGCGUAGAUAUCUUGAAGAACACCAGUGGCGAAGGCGGCUCACUGGCCUAGAUCUGACGCUGAAGCGCGAAAGCUAGGGGAGCGAACAG
Molecule: ribosomal RNA, 251 nt
Filed under: uncultured prokaryote
Description: partial 16S rRNA
Rfam family: Bacterial small subunit ribosomal RNA
Source: RNAcentral